Molecule: ribosomal RNA, 139 nt
Filed under: uncultured bacterium
Lineage: Bacteria
Description: partial 16S ribosomal RNA
Rfam family: Bacterial small subunit ribosomal RNA
Source: RNAcentral
UGGGGAAUAUUGCACAAUGGGGGGAAACCCGUGAUGCAGCGACGCCGCGUGAGUGAAGAAGUAUUUCGGUAUGUAAAGCUCUGUCAGCAGGGAAGAAAAUGACGGUACCUGACCAAGAAGCCCCGGCUAACUACGUGCC